RNAcentral lists this ribosomal RNA (253 nucleotides) under uncultured bacterium. RNAcentral describes it as "partial 16S ribosomal RNA". It matches the Rfam family "Bacterial small subunit ribosomal RNA", at positions 524 to 776 of the family's 1533-position model. The record is from RNAcentral.
UACAGAGGGUGCGAGCGUUAAUCGGAAUUACUGGGCGUAAAGCGUACGUAGGUGGAUAUUUAAGUCGGAUGUGAAAUCCCUGGGCUUAACCUGGGAAUUGCCUCCGAUACUGGAUAUCUAGAGUAUGGUAGAGGAUAGUGGAAUUUCCGGUGUAGCGGUGAAAUGCGUAGAUAUCGGAAGGAACACCAGUGGCGAAAGCGGCUAUCUGGACCAAUACUGACACUUAGGUACGAAAGCGUGGGGAGCAAACAGG